CAGCAAUUAGAUUUGGGCCGGGUCCGUUUUCAAGUCAGCAGAUCCGCAUAGCAGUCACAGUCAUUUUGCCGAUCAGCGGCAGCUCCGAUCCGGACCAGUAGUUUGACAGUCAGUUUUGAAGGCUCCUGGCGGAGGCGGGCCAGAUAAGCAAUCCGGACGCGCCAUAAUAAAAUAAUUCAGUCCGAUUUGAAGGCGCGUGGCGGGUGCGGGCCACAUAAAGCAAUCCGGACGCGCCAAAACUGAAUUUGUUCCCCAACUGUCACUUUGGAACCCUCAGAGAGAGAGAGACCGUUCUUCAGUUUACCUCAGCUGAACUCAACUAUCCGCCUGUGUCGCGUCUCGUCCAACACUGCACUGUCGUGACUUGAUCAUUCAAUGAUGAAUUGUACGGUAGGUUCAGCCAUUCCUUGAUCGACCUGACACCAGCAUUAGGCCUACUCGAUGUGUAUGAAGCAAGCUGCCUCUGCAUCAAGUGAGGGAAGAAGCCGCCACUGAAACGCUUUUUGGACUGUCAUUUGAAGGUAUGAGCCGAGAGUUGUAAACAUGAAUGCCAAUUGUACUAGGCCUAUAUAUUUUCACAGUGAAAUCCCAAUAACUAUUAUUCAUAAUUAUUUAUUCUUUUUCUGCUACAGGACACAAAUGAAAGGACAGGAAUUCUGCUCUGCGGCGUUGGUCUCACUAUUUAUUCAAGAAGCCCUUGGACACCACCAGAAUGUAUGAAAAUUGCAAACAGUAGGCACAGUCAUUCCUUGAUCGACCUGGCAUCAACAUCGCUCGAUGUGUAUGAAGCUGCAAGUGAGAGAAGAAGCCGCCACUGAACACCUUUUUGGACUGUCAUGACUGAAAUGAAAGGACAGGACUUCUACUCUGCUGGGUCGGCCUCACUACAUAUUCAAGAAGCCCUCGGACGUCAUCAGAAUGUACUAAUGUGAAGAGGCAACAAGGGAGAGAUGAACGCUAUCAAAAAUGUGGAGAUGGAUCUGGCAGCCGACCGCUUUGGCACACACCCAACAAGAAACAAAACAAUAAAGAAUACUAAAAUGCAUAA
Molecule: long non-coding RNA, 1048 nt
Organism: Engraulis encrasicolus (European anchovy)
Lineage: Eukaryota; Metazoa; Chordata; Actinopteri; Clupeiformes; Engraulidae
Exons: 5
Source: RefSeq, a predicted model, not a curated record